GGUGAGUAAUGCCUAGGAAAUUGCCUUGAUGUGGGGGAUAACCAUUGGAAACGAUGGCUAAUACCGCAUAAUGCCUACGGGCCAAAGAGGGGGACCUUCGGACCUCUCGCGUCAAGAUAUGCCUAGGUGGGAUUAGCUAGUUGGUGAGGUAAUGGCUCACCAAGGCGACGAUCCCUAGCUGGUCUGAGAGGAUGAUCAGCCACACUGGAACUGAGACACGGUCCAGACUCCUACGGGAGGCAGCAGUGGGGAAUAUUGCACAAUGGGCGAAAGCCUGAUGCAGCCAUGCCGCGUGUAUGAAGAAGGCCUUCGGGUUGUAAAGUACUUUCAGUUGUGAGGAAGGGGGUAACGUUAAUAGCGCUAUCUCUUGACGUUAGCAACAGAAGAAGCACCGGCUAACUCCGUGCCAGCAGCCGCGGUAAUAC
RNAcentral lists this ribosomal RNA (425 nucleotides) under Vibrio sp. I7E2_073. RNAcentral's name for it is "bacterial SSU rRNA". It matches the Rfam family "Bacterial small subunit ribosomal RNA", at positions 105 to 526 of the family's 1533-position model. The record is from RNAcentral. Lineage: Bacteria; Pseudomonadati; Pseudomonadota; Gammaproteobacteria; Vibrionales; Vibrionaceae. RNAcentral also lists the same sequence under 11 other names.